This 253-nucleotide ribosomal RNA is filed under the name uncultured bacterium. RNAcentral describes it as "partial 16S ribosomal RNA". It matches the Rfam family "Bacterial small subunit ribosomal RNA", at positions 524 to 776 of the family's 1533-position model. The record is from RNAcentral.
UACGUAGGGUCCGAGCGUUGUCCGGAAUUAUUGGGCGUAAAGAGCGUGUAGGCGGUCCGGUAAGUCAGCUGUGAAAGUCAAGGGCUCAACCCUUGAAAGCCGGUUGAUACUGUCGGGCUAGAGUCCGGAAGAGGCGAGUGGAAUUCCUGGUGUAGCGGUGAAAUGCGCAGAUAUCAGGAGGAACACCAAUUGCGAAGGCAGCUCGCUGGGACGUUACUGACGCUGAGACGCGAAAGCGUGGGGAGCAAACAGG